Molecule: ribosomal RNA, 565 nt
Filed under: uncultured bacterium
Lineage: Bacteria
Description: bacterial SSU rRNA
Rfam family: Bacterial small subunit ribosomal RNA
Source: RNAcentral
UUUCCGGAUGGGCGUGCGGCCUAUCAGUUAGUUGGUGGGGUAACGGCCCACCAAGGCGACGAAGGGUAGCUGGCCUGAGAGGGUGGCCAGCCGGAUUGGGAGUGAGACACGGCCCAGACUCAUUCGGGAGGCAGCAAUUAGGAAUCAUGCGCAAUGGGGGAAACCCAGCCGCAGGGACGCCGCCUGAGUGAUGAAGUCAUUUGGGAUGUAAAAAUAUUUCCUGCAGGGAAGAAGAAUGUGACGGUACCUGCAGAGAAAGCCCCGGCUAACUACGUGCCAGCAGCCGCGGUAAUACGUAGGGGGCGAGCGUUGUCCGAAUUUACUGGGCGUAAAGCGCGUGUAGGCGGCUCUUUAAGUCAGGUGUGAAAUCUUGCGGCUCAACCGCAAAACUGCAUUUGAAACUGGAGAGCUUGAGUUUGGGAGAGGAAAGUGGAAUUCCUGGUGUAGCGGUGAAAUGCGUAGAUAUCAGGAGGAACGCCCGUGGCGAAGGCGGCUUUCUGGCCCAAAACUGACGCUGAGGCGCGAAAGCUAGGGGAGCGAACGGGAUUAGAUACCCUGGUAGUCC